CAGAGCCAGAACCCACGAACCAAGCAAACUCACGACCAGAGCACGGGCCUCGCCGCGCCCAUCCCGCCGGGAUCCCCGCCGAUUCCGUCGGCGCGACCGCCGAUCUGAAGCUGCCGACGCCGGCAGCUCGAAUCCGGCCGCCAGGCGUCGCCUGCAGAGGGUCCCGCCUCAAACGCGCCGCCGUCGGCUAGGGUUCGGCCGCGCCGCCGCCUCCGUCUCCACGCCUCAGCAACAGCUGCCCGCGUUUCGCUUCUUUUAUCUCGCUCGCUUAGUUUCUCUCUCCGAGAACUUCUCUCGCUCUCUGUUUUCUCCUCACCCGUUUCGGGGUUUUUC
This 333-nucleotide unclassified non-coding RNA is filed under the name Zea mays. RNAcentral's name for it is "misc RNA Zm00001eb415540". The record is from RNAcentral. Lineage: Eukaryota; Viridiplantae; Streptophyta; Magnoliopsida; Poales; Poaceae.